GGUAGCGGGUGGAUGGCUGCGUCCCGAGCCCGAAAGGGCGAGGGAUGAGGAAAGUCCGCCCACCUAUCGAAACCAGCGCCAGAAAUGGUGCCCGGGGGAACAGAAACGAGACCUGGCCGAAAGGCUGGGAUGAAACGCGCUCCCGGUUGGGUGCAACCCGAAAGGGGCUCAGGCGAAUGCCAUCUAAAACAGAAGGCGGCUUACGGCCCGCUGCC
Molecule: RNase P RNA, 215 nt
Filed under: Candidatus Iainarchaeum sp.
Lineage: Archaea; Nanobdellati; Candidatus Iainarchaeota; Candidatus Iainarchaeia; Candidatus Iainarchaeales; Candidatus Iainarchaeaceae
Description: RNase P RNA component
Rfam family: Archaeal RNase P
About the family: Ribonuclease P (RNase P) is a ubiquitous endoribonuclease, found in archaea, bacteria and eukarya as well as chloroplasts and mitochondria.
Source: RNAcentral